GUGACCAUAGCUCAAAGGUAGAGCAUCUGGUUGUGGCCCAGAAGGUUGCGGGUUCGAGCCCCGCUGGUCACC
This 72-nucleotide transfer RNA is filed under the name Ardenticatenia bacterium. RNAcentral describes it as "tRNA-His". It matches the Rfam family "tRNA". Rfam says of the family: Transfer RNA (tRNA) molecules are approximately 80 nucleotides in length. Their secondary structure includes four short double-helical elements and three loops (D, anti-codon, and T loops). Further hydrogen bonds mediate the characteristic L-shaped molecular structure. tRNAs have two regions of fundamental functional importance: the anti-codon, which is responsible for specific mRNA codon recognition, and the 3' end, to which the tRNAs corresponding amino acid is attached (by aminoacyl-tRNA synthetases). tRNAs cope with the degeneracy of the genetic code in two manners: having more than one tRNA (with a specific anti-codon) for a particular amino acid; and 'wobble' base-pairing, i.e. permitting non-standard base-pairing at the 3rd anti-codon position. Lineage: Bacteria; Bacillati; Chloroflexota; Ardenticatenia. The record is from RNAcentral.